Molecule: long non-coding RNA, 775 nt
Filed under: Homo sapiens (human)
Lineage: Eukaryota; Metazoa; Chordata; Mammalia; Primates; Hominidae
Description: HSALNT0401195
Source: RNAcentral
GUUGGGUUUUAUGGCUCCAAACUAUGGGUGUGUCACCAUGCAGGAAGUAGUGGGAAAACCGAGGGAGGGGCAGAGGAAAAAAGGAGGGUGGAGAACUGUGUUUAGUGAGUGCCUACUGGAUGCUGGGAGUUGCAUACAGGCGUUACCAUAUUUAAAUUAAACCUUGAGAUGAAGGGACUGAAGGACAGAGAGAAAUUGCAUGCCUGGAGUCUCACUGCUAGUACAUAGAGGUGUUAUCUUCCUUUCAUCUAACAUAUUUAUUGAGCACCUACUAUGUACCAGGCCUUGUGCUAGACUCUGGGGAUAUGGAAAUGAGCAAAGUAGAUGUACCCCCGAAACUUGUGGACUAAUGGAGGAGACGGACCUUAAUCAGAUCGUCAUUCAAAGAUACUAUUACAAACUGUUCUGAGAGCCGAGGAAGCAGGAAGGAGCUGUGAGAGACUGAGCUCUAACCUUGGCCAUCAAAGACAAGCUGUGCAGCUCUGGUUUUUUGAGGGCAGGACAUGGAGGGUCAGGCCCAGCUGGAGGCGCACCAAAGCCCAGAGAAAAUUCAGAACCACGUGAACUUGUUGGAUUUCAGCCCCUUGAAGCACAUGUUGCUAUUGCAGCUGCCUUGAUAACUGGGGGGACAGGAGGAGCACGGCUUUCCCAUCUUGUACGGGGACUCGCCAAUCCAGUUGCCCCUGGAAGAGAAAAGGACCCAGGGAGACAGAGGAGCAUUAGGCUACUAAUGACUUCAAGAACAUCAGAAUAAUACAAUAGAAAGAAUUUGGAA